This 484-nucleotide ribosomal RNA is filed under the name uncultured bacterium. Its description in RNAcentral is "partial 16S ribosomal RNA". It matches the Rfam family "Bacterial small subunit ribosomal RNA", at positions 30 to 507 of the family's 1533-position model. The record is from RNAcentral.
AUUGAACGCUGGCGGCAGGCCUAACACAUGCAAGUCGAGCGGAUGAAGGGAGCUUGCUCCUGGAUUCAGCGGCGGACGGGUGAGUGAUGCCUAGGAAUCUGCCUGGUAUUGGGGGAUAACGUCCGGAAACGGGCGCUAAUACCGCAUACGUCCUGAGGGUGAAAGUGGGGGAUCUUCGGACCUCACGCUAUCAGAUGAGCCUAGGUCGGAGUAGCUAGUUGGUGGGGUAAAGGCCUACCAAGGCGACGAUCCGUAACUGGUCUGAGAGGAUGAUCAGUCACACUGGAACUGAGACACGGUCCAGACUCCUACGGGAGGCAGCAGUGGGGAAUAUUGGGCAAUGGGCGAAAGCCUGACCCAGCCAUGCCGCGUGUGUGAAGAAGGUCUUCGGAUUGUAAAGCACUUUAAGUUGGGAGGAACGGCAGUAAGUUAAUACCUUGCUGUUUUGACGGUACCAACAGAAUAAGCACCGGCUAACUACGUG